This 375-nucleotide ribosomal RNA is filed under the name Procladius frigidus. Its description in RNAcentral is "partial 28S ribosomal RNA". It matches the Rfam family "Eukaryotic large subunit ribosomal RNA", at positions 578 to 917 of the family's 3401-position model. Lineage: Eukaryota; Metazoa; Arthropoda; Insecta; Diptera; Chironomidae. The record is from RNAcentral.
GCCGCAAGCAAUUGCGACGUUUAAAUUAUGUGCCCGAUCAACAACGGUUACAUUUGGGAUACCUUUGGGACCCGUCUUGAAACACGGACCAAGGAGUCUAUCUAGUAUGCAAGUAAAUGGGCCUUAUUAAAAACCUAUUUGCGUAAAUAACUUGACUGUUGUAUACAAUGGGAUUACGAGUAUAUUUUAUAUGCUCCUCCAUCCCGGGGUAUUUUCACAACAUAUAUGGGCAACUAUAUAUAGAAAAUAUACCAUGAGCAUACUGGAUAUGACCCGAAAGAUGGUGAACUAUGCCUGAUCAGGUUGAAGUCAGGGGAAACCCUGAUGGAGGACCGAAGCAAUUCUGACGUGCAAAUCGAUUGUCAGAAUUGGGCA